Cavia porcellus (domestic guinea pig) is the source of this 4865-nucleotide long non-coding RNA. RefSeq lists it as uncharacterized. Lineage: Eukaryota; Metazoa; Chordata; Mammalia; Rodentia; Caviidae. The transcript has 3 exons. The record is from RefSeq and is a predicted model, not a curated record.
GGGCUGGCUCUCACCCCCAUGAGGGACUGUGAGAACCUUCCUGUCAGGAUAAGGCAACAAGACCACAUUGCUACGAAGCCAGCAGGGAACAGAACAUGCGAUAAACAGUCACAGAGAGGGCCACUGCCUACAGUUCCUGUCACAGCCACACCCAGAGGGCCCUCUCCUCUGAGCAUCCACUCUUUACCAUCAUGUCCAGCAAACACACACUGUCUCAGUGGUUUAUCAAACCCCACCGAAUGUGCCUCAGAUUCGUGCGUUUCUUCAGAUAUCGCGUGUGGGGGUCACACGACUGUGAUUCCAGUGCUCAGGAGGCUGAGGCAGGACGAUUGCUGGGAGCUCAAGGCCAGCCUGGGCUAUGUAGUGAGUUCAAGACCAGCCUGCACUCCAAACAUUGCUUGCAACUUUCAAUAAUGAAUAUGAACUGGUUUUCACAAAAGCAACAAAAUAAUUUUCAAAAUAUCUGCCUGUACUAGGUCAUUCCAAUGAAAAUAUUUGUUUCUGACCAUCGCAGAGAUAUGGAUAAAUAACUUUUGGGACUCUGGUUAAAGAUGCUCUGAGGACAAGACGACCCCAAAGAUCAAAGCUACUGGCUGGGGUUCACUUUUUUUUACAUCUGCCUUCUCAGGAAGGUCUCUUCCUUCUGUGAGCCCCAAGGCUCUGAGGCCGGACUCGGGGUGUCUGGAAGGACUGCCCAAUUGAUGUACUUCUCUGCUUCAGUUCGCAUCUCUCAGAGUCCAGGUCCAGCUCUUAGGCAUGACCACGUAAGUAAGGAGAAUAAAAAUCAUUUCAAUGGCCACUGCUUGUGGAACAUCAAGUGCACAUUAGAUACUCUAUCUUGUUUACUCCUUACAGGAGUCCUCCCAAGUAAAUACUGCUAAGCUAAUUUUCUGAAGUUAAACAGAUUUCAGGGGUUAAUUCCUCAGUGUAGAGUCAGGAAACCAAAGCAGGUCAGUCAGACUAUUGCAUCCCAGCUGCUUCCCAUGAGCAUCCAGUGUGUCCAAACCAAAGAUGUGGUCAUCCUUUCCUGUGAGUCCAGUCCUGAUGAAGGUCACGGUCGCAGCACAGCCAAACCCAGACCUAGUGGCCUCUAGGUCCUCCCCUCCCCAGGUCCUGCCAACCUCGCCUCCAAAUGGCCCUAAAAUCUUCCCCCUGCUUAUCUCUUCUAUCCCGUGCCUUCCUUUCUCCAGCCUCUCCUCUCACAGGCCGGCUUUUGUCCAGGAGAAUUAUAUUAAAACACAGCACUGGUUCUGGGGCUUCCUAACCUGGUCUGCAAAGUGUCGUGAGUGAAAUUUAAACUCAUAAAUCGGCCCUCGAAGAGUUCAUCCUCUCUAGUGAUAGCCCAGAGCUCCUGCUUUGCUGCCUACACACGGAAUUCCCUCUGUUCCUGAGACACUCAGGCUCUAGAAGAUACCCACACGACUUUGCCCCUCCUAUUUCCUUGUCUCAAAUGGGGUGCCUUUCUCUUUCUCAGGUAAAAGCUGCUUCUUCCCAAACCUUCCCUGACUUGCCCACCCUGAGCAGUCUGCAGUCUUCUCUUUGUUCCUAAUUGCUUCAUGUUCUGUGAAAGUCUUAUCACAAUGUGUGGCAGUGACUUUUCCUGCCCUGCAUUUCUUCCUAGACAGCGAAGGUGAGCUCAUUCAUUCAUGCCUUCAGUGAAUAUUUACUGCAUACACACUAUGUUCCAGGCAAUGGGCUCGGAGCUAAGGAUACAAUGCUGGUGAAAUUAGCAUGUCACCAUCAUCUGGGAGCUUAUUAUCAGAGGGGACAGAAAUUAUUCAGAGAAAAAUUCAAACAUUCCAUUUCAAACUGUGAUAGAUUUACAAAGAAGAAGUAGUUUGGAGGUGCCAAGGAAGCCUUCCUUAGCAAAGUGACAUUUGACCAGAGACAGCUUCUGAUUAAACCAGAGGUCAUUAGGUAAAGAGGAAGAGCAUUCCAUGUAGGAAUAGCAUUGCCAAGCCUCAAAAGGGGGAGGAAUGCGCUGUGAAGGAAAGUCAGUGUUCACAGUGAGGAGGAGCAGCCCCAGAAGAGGCAGGGGAGGUGGGUGGGACCCAGGGUCUCAUAAAGAUUCAAGUGCUCACUCCAAGAGCAGAAUGAAGUCCCUGAUGACACAGUUGCAGAUUUGCAUUUCAGAUUCUCUGGCUGCUGUGUUGGUGGAGAUGUAAACUGGGUGAGAGACUGGUUUGGAGGCUGCUGAGGGAGCUGGUCGAGGGUCUCUCCCCCAUGCCUGGAUUCGAACCUUUUUCAUGUAAGUCAGCCACAGCAUGCAACUCAGGAACUGGCCCACACCAGCUCAAGUCAUUGCCUAGAAAUAACCUGCAAAUGAUCAAAGAGCAAAACAUGGUACAAAAUGGUCCCUAAAAAGGCGACCUUUUGGCUUGUUGGAAAGAUCAGAUACAGCAGGGAAGAAAGGGCCUCCCAGUCCUCAGAACCUGAAGGACAGCCAAAGUGCUCAAGUCUCCACAAAGUUCUGAUAAGAAUCUUCCCCAUCUCCCAAAGGAACAGCCAAGAAGCCUCAGAAGAGACUCGAGCUUUCCUCAUGAGCUCAUAUGUGCUUUUGAAUUUGGAGUGCUUUCUGGACAGCGCUCACAGUGCUCCCAAAGCCUUUGCACUGAGCCCUGGAAGCAGAGGAGCUCCCAGGAAGUAAGAGAAGAGAGUUACCACUCUGCAGACAGCGAUGUAACCGCUGUCCACCUCAAAUCUCCAGCUCUGUGCAGUGCACCAUGCAGCACACAAUACAAGAAGGCUGCCAAGACAGUCUCAUAACCUCAGUGACAAAAAUCGACAGGAAUGUCAGAUUCCUGCUGGAGUGAAAAUGAGUGAAAUAGUUCCCAUGACUGUCCCCCUCUCUUUUUUGUUGUACUGGGAGUGGAAUCCAGUGGUGCUCUACCCGAGUUACAACUCCAGCCCCUUGAAAAGAUUUUGUCCUAUUUUGAGACAGGGUCUCACUAGUUGCCCUGGCUGAGUUUAAAUUUUCCAUCCUUUUGCCUCAGUCUCUCUAGUAAGCAGCUGGGGUUAUAGUCAUGAGGCUGUUGCCUGGCUGGCUCUAUUUUAUAGAUGAGCAAAGUGGGGUGCCAAGAGUGUAAGAAACUGGCUCAAGGUUAUGCAGCAGUAAAUGAUGACGCUUGGGCUCUGAAUUCAAGAAUCUACUUCCUAGAGCUGAGAGCAACUGGGAAGGAGUGUGGAGUUGGGAAACACGUACCAUAGUUAAUUUUGUUCUCUUUUUCUUUCUUUUAUUUUUUUUUUUAAUUUGGUGCUCAUAGAAGCCAAAUUCAUUUAUCCGCUAAUUUUGCUUCUAAGAUUCAGCUCAUUCCCUAUUUGUACUGGACAGUGAGGUUUUGCUGCAAGUAAAAUUUUGUAAGCUAAGUUUGUAGUGUGUAUAUACAUUUAAAUGGGAAGACUUUUUAAUCAAUUGUACUUAUAGGACAGUAUCUCAUGGAAAGAUAUACAAUUCUAUAAAGAUACACGAAUGAAAAUAUUCAUUAUUUCACUGUUUAUAAUAGAGAAAAAGUGAAAAUAAUAUAAUAUAAACAAGAGAAUUGUUAGGUAGAAAUGGCAACAUGAUAGACACCUAAUCAUGCAACCAAAUCUGCCCUUGGGAAUAGACUUUAAUCUGAGCGUAUGGUCAGCUGUCCAGAGCAGCUGUGUUUCCCAGCUUCCCUUGCUACUGGUUAUGGCCAUGGGAACAUGCCAGCAUCCAUGCAAUUUGAGCUUAAAGAAUGUAUACUCUGCACCCCCACUACCUCCAGCAGGGACCCACAUCUGCCCGCCAGCCAGCUUUGACCCUGGAGCAAAUCUAACACCUUAAGGCAUGGCAAAAAGAUAACAGGGAAGGAAUCAGGGUCCCUGAAUACUUGCAUGCAGCAGAGUUGGCCAGUGUUUGACCGGCUCGCUUUUGAAUUAUUACUCAAGAAUGAUACAGGCUUCCCUCUCAUUACUAUUAAUAUGCUAUUGUAUUCGUGUACUCUAUGUCACAACAAUUUAGAUUUUAUCUUACCUAAUGUAAGAAAGCUACGGAAUACUUUUAAAAGAGGUACUGAUAUAUAGAAUUUGGUAGUACAUAUAAAGAAAGAAGCUGUGACAAGCUUUGUUUUGCCAUAUUUGACUGUAUUCUUCCCCCCCCCCCCAAAAAAAGUAAUAAGCACUAAGGAGUAAUAAAAUCCAAAAUGUGUAAAUUUUGUUGUAAAAAAGAGAGGGAAAAAAAAAAAAAAGAAAAAGAGCUCUAACGGAUAUAACAGCAAGUGAGUUUAGGGGUGUUAAAUAGCUGACUAUAUCAAUGUUUUUGGAUCAUUGAACACAGCUGUUUGCAGUCUCCCUGUUUGAAUGUCCACCUUGUAUUCUUUGAUACUGUGAUUUGAGCAACUAUUUUCAAGAUGAUAAUAUGUAAUCUACUAACAGGUGAUUUCUUACUGUUAUGUUUUUUUUUUGUUUGUUUGUUUGUUUUUUUUUUUUUUGUAGUUCUGUAUUACGUGUACCCUUACACCACUUUGGUUUGUUUUGUGUUUUUCUCUUUUUCCUCUUAAAUAAAAAAAAAAAAAAAAAAAAAAAAAAGAAGCUGUGACAAAAUGAGUUUAUUCCAGCAUCCAGAAAUAAGGGAGCCAGAAUAAAGAGCUUAUUUCCACAUAUGAAAAAUUACUGAAUAGUCCGGGCGUGGUGGCACAUGCCUGUAAUCCCAACACUCAGGAGGCUGGGGCAGAAGGAUUGUUGAGAGUUUGAGACCAGCCUGAGCUAAAAAGUAAGAUAAAGGACAGCCUGAAUUACAUAGUGAGACUCUGUCUCUAAUAAAUUAAUUAAAUGACAUAGCACACUUUUUUCAGUAGAUAUUUAAAGCACAUUUGAUAAAUGUCAACACACAUUUUAAAACU